AAAGCCCAACAACUUUGGGACUAAAUGUAAAUUUCUACUACGUUAUUAGGAUCAAGUGUAACCCAAGGAGAUGCAGUGUUGAAAAUACUGUUCCCACAAGAGUUGCUCUAGCCUAGAGUGUGAUCGUUAAGAGGAAGUUUACCGGAUUUGGGUGAGGAACUUAUUUAGUCGAAGAGAAGAAGAAAAAUGAAAUUUGGCGGGAGGCAACCAACUGGAACACCAUCACUUGCAUUGUCGACUGUCGUGAUUGUUGCAUCGCUUCUUGCCGGUGCAUCUGUAGUUCAUAACAUCUACAAGCCUGAUCUUACAUUGCCUCCGGUGGAGAAGGAUGAUGAUGACAAAAUGAAGACUAAGAAUACUAAUACUCCAGGUCAACCCAAGAAAGAUUAGGACAAUGAAAAUCUGUUUCCGGGGAAUGCAUUUUGGAAGAACUCGCGUUUUAAGCACUCUCUAAAACCUCAGCUUGAUUUCUUUAUGGUUUAGAAGUUGGGAAUACUUGGGAAUUCUAUUACAUUUGGAUAUGUGUUUCAGAUCUUUUAAUUGAGUUUGGGUUAGUUAUUCCA
Molecule: long non-coding RNA, 563 nt
Organism: Papaver somniferum (opium poppy)
Lineage: Eukaryota; Viridiplantae; Streptophyta; Magnoliopsida; Ranunculales; Papaveraceae
Exons: 2
Source: RefSeq, a predicted model, not a curated record